UGGGGAAUAUUGGACAAUGGGCGAAAGCCUGAUCCAGCCAUGCCGCGUGUGUGAAGAAGGUCUUCGGAUUGUAAAGCACUUUAAGUUGGGAGGAAGGGCAUUAACCUAAUACGUUAGUGUUUUGACGUUACCGGCAGAAUAAGCACCGGCUAACUUCGUGCCAGCAGCCGCGGUAAUACGAAGGGUGCAAGCGUUAAUCGGAAUUACUGGGCGUAAAGCGCGCGUAGGUGGUUCGUUAAGUUGGAUGUGAAAGCCCCGGGCUCAACCUGGGAACUGCAUCCAAAACUGGCGAGCUAGAGUACGGUAGAGGGUGGUGGAAUUUCCUGUGUAGCGGUGAAAUGCGUAGAUAUAGGAAGGAACACCAGUGGCGAAGGCGACCACCUGGACUGAUACUGACACUGAGGUGCGAAAGCGUGGGGAGCAAACA
This 427-nucleotide ribosomal RNA is filed under the name uncultured bacterium. RNAcentral describes it as "partial 16S ribosomal RNA". It matches the Rfam family "Bacterial small subunit ribosomal RNA", at positions 355 to 774 of the family's 1533-position model. The record is from RNAcentral.